UAAUGAUAACGUUGCAGACAUCUUUACAAAGUCUCUUUCCAAAGGACCAUUCGAGGAUCUCCUUGGCGAGCUUGGACUUGUCUCCAAAAGUUCAUUUUAAGGGGGAGUGUUAAAAUUAAAGUGUAACUUUUGAAAAAUUAUAGAAUAAUGUAGAAUAUUAUAGAAGUUAGGAGAGAUAUUUCUAGAUUAGUGUAGGUGAUAAAAAUAUCUAGAUAUUUUGUAUGAAAAGUGUGGAGUAUUCUAGAAGAUGAAUCUCCACCGUAGGAUUAAAUAGAUCAUGACCGUCCAUUGAGGAGGUGGAAAGUCUAUAUAUACCCACCCCUUCCUCCACAUUUGUAUCAUCCAAAAAAAUCCAAGUCUUCUUGAGUUAAUAAAGUAUUCUCCAAGUUAUUCAAGUAAGUCUN
RNAcentral lists this long non-coding RNA (404 nucleotides) under Nicotiana benthamiana. Its description in RNAcentral is "long non-coding RNA (NBEN_LNC039782)". The record is from RNAcentral. Lineage: Eukaryota; Viridiplantae; Streptophyta; Magnoliopsida; Solanales; Solanaceae.